RNAcentral lists this ribosomal RNA (329 nucleotides) under uncultured Oscillospira sp. Its description in RNAcentral is "bacterial SSU rRNA". It matches the Rfam family "Bacterial small subunit ribosomal RNA", at positions 28 to 339 of the family's 1533-position model. The record is from RNAcentral. Lineage: Bacteria; Bacillati; Bacillota; Clostridia; Eubacteriales; Oscillospiraceae.
GAUGAACGCUGGCGGCGUGCUUAACACAUGCAAGUCGAACGGAGGACCCCUGAACGAGUUUUCGGACAAGGGAAGGGAAUCCUUAGUGGCGGACGGGUGAGUAACGCGUGAGGAACCUGCCUUGGAGAGGGGAAUAACACAGAGAAAUUUGUGCUAAUACCGCAUGAUGCAGUACUAUCGCAUGGUAGAACUGCCAAAGAUUUAUCGCUCUGAGAUGGCCUCGCGUCUGAUUAGCUGGUUGGCGGGGUAACGGCCCACCAAGGCGACGAUCAGUAGCCGGACUGAGAGGUUGGCCGGCCACAUUGGGACUGAGACACGGCCCAGACUCC